UAGCCGUAAACGAUACUCGCUAGGUGUCGGCCACGGUGCGACCGUUGUCGGUGCCGUAGGGAAGCCGUGAAGCGAGCCACCUGGGAAGUACGGCCGCAAGGCUGAAACUUAAAGGAAUUGGCGGGGGAGCACCACAACGGGUGGAGCUUGCGGUUUAAUUGGAUUCAACGCCGGAAAUCUUACCGGGACCGACAGCAACAUGAAGGCCAGGCUGAGGACUUUGCCGGAUUAGCUGAGAGGUGGUGCAUGGCGUAGUCGUGU
Molecule: ribosomal RNA, 261 nt
Filed under: uncultured archaeon
Lineage: Archaea
Description: partial 16S ribosomal RNA
Rfam family: Archaeal small subunit ribosomal RNA
Source: RNAcentral